AUGAGCUAAUAAUGGAAGCAAUUUGUAACUUUCAGUAGCUCUCUAGGCCUGGGUACCGGAGGGAGGGAGGCGGGCAGAGGAGGGGAGAUGGGCACCCCCAGUCUUUCCAUCCUCCUCAUUCGUCUAGGGGCACCCGAAUCCCCUAUUCCUUAUUUCCCCUAUCACUCAGGCACUGGCAGGGUCCUUUGCCCACUCCUGUUGGCCGCUGCGGCUCCAAAGCGAGCUGGGCAGAUGUGCCUGACACAGGUUUGACCAGGCAACUGAAAAGACAUCUCUAAGAGAAGACAAAGCAAAGGUAUGAAAGGAACACACGUCCCUGACUGACUAGGAGGAACAGAGCUGCCUGCUAUCUGGAACAACUUCCUCCCAGACUAAGGCUACAGCCGAGAAUACCACAGACGGUUUGCCAUGGAUCAAGAUUUCUCUCAAGAAAGAGCUCACAGAAAGGCUGCUGUGAGAAAGGAAGUCACUUGCUACUCCCCUUAUUCCUCCAUCAGGAGGAGCUAGAUGAGGUCACUGCACAUUUGAGUGGGUGCUAUCAAAGCACAGCCUCUGGCCAGCGUGGAGACAAACGUGGGCUGUGUGGCCCGUGACUCAGUGGCUUAAAGGAAACCUGAGG
Molecule: long non-coding RNA, 619 nt
Filed under: Homo sapiens (human)
Lineage: Eukaryota; Metazoa; Chordata; Mammalia; Primates; Hominidae
Description: HSALNT0352128
Source: RNAcentral